UUCAUUCUCAAACACACACUCUCUCUAUCUCUCCCAUCCACUGCUCUUCCUCUCUGCUUCCUCAGUUGAUCUCUCCCUCAUUCUUCUCUUCCUCCUUUCAACUCUCCUUCCUCUCUUCCUUUCUCCAACCUGCCAAGUCCAUGGUUGUAACAUGGACUUACCUUUUCAAAGGAUUACCACAAGAGGCGUAGGGUUUGUGAUGAAUUUAUUUGACAAUCCCCAUUUUUUCCCUCUCCAAAUCGUAUGCCUCUUAUCUCUCUGCUCCUCAUCUAAUAUUCCUUGCUUUCUCCAUAAACUUUCGAUCUCUGCUUUUCAAAUACAAGCCAAAUAGUUUUUUAAUAUGGGAUUCAUAUGGAGGUCGCACGGUCUAGACAUCCAUCUUUGUUCCUCUGGAUUUCUUUAAUAGUAAGUAUUCAAUUUCUUCCUUUUGUUUUUUUCUGUUUCUUGUUUAAUUCUUUGAGUGCUGAAAAUGGUAGAUUUUUUUUUUUUUUUUUAUGUAUUGAUUAAAAUUUUUAUUUCUUUGGUUUGUUGACUAUGCUAUGUGAAUUAUUUGUUGACUAUGCUUUGUGAAUUUUUGAAGAAAAAUUGGCUGAUGUUGUUCUUGAAUUUAUGUGGUAAAGAUCUUUGGUCUUUGGAUCUAUACUCUUUAUUAAACCCUUGGAUCUCGUCUGUUUGGUUGUGUUCGGACAGGUGCUCGUGGCCGGAUGUUACAAUCGGUGAGGCGUCGAUUGGUUGAUGGCGAGGGUUUGUGCUAGUAGGGAUGCUCGGCGGCGGAUGCUGCAGUAGAACCCUAGGUUUUCUUUUGUUGUAUUUUAUGGCUUGGGCCUCUGUAUUGUUUGUUGGAUCUAUUGGGCUAGUUUGGCAGGUCCUCUUUUGGGCUAGAUUACUAAUAUCCAGAUAUUAA
RNAcentral lists this long non-coding RNA (904 nucleotides) under Malus domestica (apple). Its description in RNAcentral is "long non-coding RNA (MDOM_LNC012488)". The record is from RNAcentral. Lineage: Eukaryota; Viridiplantae; Streptophyta; Magnoliopsida; Rosales; Rosaceae.